GUGGGGAAUUUUGGACAAUGGGCGAAAGCCUGAUCCAGCAAUGCCGCGUGCAGGAUGAAGGCCUUCGGGUUGUAAACUGCUUUUGUACGGAACGAAAAAGCUCCUUCUAAUACAGGGGGCCCAUGACGGUACCGUAAGAAUAAGCACCGGCUAACUACGUGCCAGCAGCCGCGGUAAUACGUAGGGUGCGAGCGUUAAUCGGAAUUACUGGGCGUAAAGCGUGCGCAGGCGGUUAUGUAAGACAGAUGUGAAAUCCCCGGGCUCAACCUGGGAACUGCAUUUGUGACUGCAUGGCUAGAGUACGGUAGAGGGGGAUGGAAUUCCGCGUGUAGCAAUGAAAUGCGUAGAUAUGCGGAGGAACACCGAUGGCGAAGGCAAUCCCCUGGACCUGUACUGACGCUCAUGCACGAAAGCGUGGGGAGCAAACAGGAUUAGAAACCCGAGUAGUCC
Molecule: ribosomal RNA, 450 nt
Filed under: uncultured bacterium
Lineage: Bacteria
Description: partial 16S ribosomal RNA
Rfam family: Bacterial small subunit ribosomal RNA
Source: RNAcentral